AGCGAACGCUGGCGGCAGGCCUAACACAUGCAAGUCGAACGAACCUUUCGGGGUUAGUGGCGGACGGGUGAGUAACACGUGGGAACGUGCCUUUAGGUUCGGAAUAACUCAGGGAAACUUGUGCUAAUACCGAAUGUGCCCUUCGGGGGAAAGAUUUAUCGCCUAUAGAGCGGCCCGCGUCUGAUUAGCUAGUUGGUUGAGGUAAUGGCUCACCAAGGCGACGAUCAGUAGCUGGUCUGAGAGGAUGAUCAGCCACAUUGGGACUGAGACACGGCCCAAACUCCUACGGGAGGCAGCAGUGGGGAAUCUUGCGCAAUGGGCGAAAGCAUGACGCAGCCAUGCCGCGUGAAUGAUGAAAGUCUUAGGAUUGUAAAAUUCUUUCAACGGGGACGAUAAUGACGGUACCCGGAGAAGAAGCCCCGGCUAACUUCGUG
This 434-nucleotide ribosomal RNA is filed under the name uncultured bacterium. RNAcentral describes it as "partial 16S ribosomal RNA". It matches the Rfam family "Bacterial small subunit ribosomal RNA", at positions 29 to 507 of the family's 1533-position model. The record is from RNAcentral.